UGGGGAAUCUUGCGCAAUGGAGGAAACUCUGAUGCAGCGACGCCGCGUGAGCGAUGAAGCCCUUCGGGGUGUAAAGCUCUUUCGACGGGAACGAUAAUGACGGUACCCGGAGAAGAAGCUGCGGCUAACUACGUGCCAGCAGCCGCGGUAAUACGUAGGCAGCAAACGUUGUUCGGAAUUACUGGGCGCAAAGAGUGUGUAGGCGGUUUUGCAAGUUUGGUGUGAAAUCUCCCGGCUUAACUGGGAGGGUGCGCCGAAAACUGCAAGGCUCGAGUACUGGAGAGGAAAGCGGAAUUCCUGGUGUAGCGGUGAAAUGCGUAGAUAUCAGGAGGAACACCGGUGGUGUAGACGGCUUUCUGGACAGUCACUGACGCUGAGACACGAAAGCGUGGGGAGCAAAC
Molecule: ribosomal RNA, 401 nt
Filed under: uncultured bacterium
Lineage: Bacteria
Description: bacterial SSU rRNA
Rfam family: Bacterial small subunit ribosomal RNA
Source: RNAcentral